GAUGAAGAACGUAGCGAAAUGUGAUAAGUAAUGUGAAUUGCAGAAUUCAGUGAAUCAUCGAAUCUUUGAACGCACCUUGCACCCUUUGGCAUUCCGAAGGGUAUGCUCGUUUGAGUGUCAUUGUACUCUCACACUUCCAAUCUUUGGAUUGGGAGCGGUGGACUUGGGUGUUGCUGCUUACUGUGGCUCACCUCAAAUCGAUUCGUGCACCUCUUGGUUGGACAUAGUACGGCGUGAUAAGUGUCUUCGCCGGCACCUCAGUAGAGGGUGGCUGAUCAGGAGCUCUGUGCUUCAAACCGUCCUCGGACAACAACUGACAACUUGACCUCAAAUCGAGUAGGACUACCCGCUGAACUUAAGCAUAUCAAUAAGCGGAGGA
This 379-nucleotide unclassified non-coding RNA is filed under the name soil metagenome. RNAcentral's name for it is "partial contains 5.8S ribosomal RNA, internal transcribed spacer 2, and large subunit ribosomal RNA". The stretch from base 1 to 120 matches the Rfam family "5.8S ribosomal RNA", at positions 35 to 154 of the family's 154-position model. The record is from RNAcentral.